AAACAAGGGUAUUCACUAUAUUCCCAGUAUUUUUUGUAUUCUACCAUCAUAUUCAGUGCAACAAUCAUCUCUUUCUCAUCCUAAUCUACUACAAACCACUAUUUAAACAGUACAUUAUGAUGCAUAACUAGAAUAUCUACCUAUAAGAAGAGCCAAUAUUCUAAAAGCUCAUAAUAGGAUUUUGAUUGGGAAAAGGCAACAGAAACCAAUGUCUAAAAAUUUAAAGUAUAUUCAGCAUCCUUGCCAUGCGGUAUUCAAAUGGAUUCAAGCACACUUUAUGAAACUUUUCCAGGAUAAGUAUCUAUAUGCAAUGACAAUGCACCCAUAGAACAUCAACAACUCUUCCAAAGUACGAACCCGUUCAGAAUUUGUAUAAAUACAACAAUAGAAAACAUGUCCUUAAAAUGCCCAAAAAUAUACAGAAUCAAUUAUAAUCUAACUCAAAGCAGUAGCAUAAACAAUGUCAGAAUAGAGGCUAUUAUUUGAAACCAUAACUCAUACAUUGACCAUAAACACCUCAACAAAAAAAACCAAGUUGAUGCUGGACAAAGAACCAGCUCAAGCUCAACAAGACGGCAAACAUCAACGACAACAGUCCACGGCAAAAAUCAACCUUCAAUCUCUUACACUCGAGAAUCCCUGAAUACUCUAAUUUUAAUCUCAGAAAAACAACUUGAGAACUCCAAAAUAUGCAGCAACUAAACAAAAAUCGGUACUAGCUUUCAAUUUCCCCUCUUCUUUUGGACUUGUGCUCGGAUUUCUGGACCAUUUGUUUUCGAUGUAGGGCUCUUUUUUUAAUUCCUUAGCUCUAAUAUGUUCUGCUAAUGUGUGUGAGUGAGAUGAUAAUUAGAGAAGGGUGUUAUGAGAAGAGGGGGGAAUGGCACUGUUUUGAGAGGGGAAUGGGAGGUCUGUUCUUGGUAAUAAUGAAAAUGGAGAGGAAACUCCCUCCCAGAUGCGUUGUUGCUAUGUGGGGUAAGGUAUAUCAUUAUUUAGGUCUAGGAGCUAGGUUUUAAUUAAAGGGGAUGGGUUUUGGGUCGGGUCAGGUGGGUUUGGGGCUUUUUGGGGAAUUUGGGUCUUCGUUUUUUCCUUUUGUUUUUUUUAAUUUUUUAAAAUCCUAAAUCAAUCUAUUUUUGUAGAAAAAUAAAAUUCUUUUAAUAUUUCUAACAAUAAAACAACUAAAUAACUUAAAACUAAAGAAAAAUGCUAAUUUUAAUUGCUAAAAUCUAAAUAUGUAAAAAUGACCAUUUUGUGAUUUUUUUGCUUAAUAAAAUUAAUUCUUACAUGCGAGUUGAACCUAAGAUGGCAUGAAAUUUAAAACGUGACAAUGUUUAUGAUUUUUCUAUGAUUUUAAAAUAUUAAAAAUGCAUGAAAUGCGAUUAAAUAAAUAAAAACUUAUAGAAAAUCAAUUAAAAUUAUUUUUGGUCUAUUUUUAGGAGUUGUUUUCAUGUAGGGCAAAUAUUAGGUGCUCACAACUGCCCCUCUUUGCUCGGAAACAUAAAGAGUUUUCGGGCAAAGAUAAAGUGAGCAAUUACGAGCAAUUUUUGCUCGUUUGAAACUCCAUUUGGAAGCAUUUUGAAAAAGUUUGACCGAACCUUGCUUCGGAGGUUGCCUACAUAUCCUUGGAUAUAAAGGAAUCAGGUCGGUGUAGUUCUAGAAGUUUUGAUAGCUGUGGCUACCGGGAAACUGUGAUUUCACUGUUGUUUCUGCUUGUUGAGCUCCUUAUUACACCAAAAUGAAAGAUGAAAAGCUAAACUAGUUAAGCCUAUCAACUACGAGUUACAAGAUUCAUAUCUAUAAACCUUCUAAAGUUUGAUCUUGAGUCUUGGUUGGUUCUUCCUGCAGACUCUGAUCUGAAUCUUGACGCUCGUUAAUUGAAACUAUUGAUUCAUUCUUCUUCAGCUUUUCGGAUCAAGUCGGGGCAUGCAAAGCUUGUAUUUUCAAUCAUAUCUUGAGCAGCCCGCAACUUUUCUCCGCUUCUACACUUAGAGUUCAACUUCUUUUCUUGUUCUUCUUUUCUUUUAUUUGAAUUGAGCAUUCUUCUUUUGGUUAUCCCAAACCUCGUGCCUUAUGGUAAAAAAAAAACUAUUCAGGCACUAAAACAAACAAACGGAUGAAAUUUUUCUGCCCCAGUUUUCACUAGAAAAAUUUGGGAGUUACUGCGACAAAAUCGAAACUAUUUUUUUUAUUGAAAGCAAUAAAAACAGGAUUGUGUAUCCUUGGGAAAAAGAGAUAAGGGAGUGGAGCCCUAUAUCUAUAAUGACUUCAACAGGGGAGUAGAGACCCUAUGUUGGAAAAGAGACUAGGGAGUGGAGACCCUACAUCUAAAAAUAAAAUCAACUAGCAAGUGAAGACUCUAAGUUGGAAAUGCGACUAGAGAGUAGAGACCCUAUGUCUAAAAUAAAUUCAACUAGGGAGUGGAGACCUUAUGUUGAAAAAAUGACUAGGGAGUGGAGACCCUAUGUUUAAAAUAACUUCAACUAGGGAGUAGAGACCCUAUGUUGGAAAAAAAGUAACUAGAGAUUGGGGACCCUAGGCUACCAUGUUUUUUUUAUUAAACAAAAAUGAGUAAGAAUACAGGAAAGAAUUUGGAGGAAACAUCCCUUUUGAAUUGAUUAUUGCUGCAAAACUGUUUCUAGCCCUUGCACAGUUUCUAUUGGUCGCACCUGCUUCUUGCUCGGUUGCUUUGGAUUGCACCUGUUUCAUGCAUUUCAAACAAAGAAUAAUUGUUAGUUUGUGGCCUUGAUUAUUUCAACCACUAGAUCUCGGCCCUUUUCAUCUACAACUGGUUGCUUCUUGAAGACCGAUUUCAUUUUUGGCCCCAGAGAACCUCUAAUUUUUCCAGACUUUGCCAUGACGGUUGGUCACAUGGGUCUUAAGCUUUCAACUUUAUUUCGCCUUUGUGGGACUUUCCCUUUUGACUUGUCGACUUUUUUAUUUUUUUUCUUUUUUUUCUUUUUUUCUUUUUUUUUAACUUCGGAGCAUUAGGGAACUUUAGCUCCUCAAACUUUGUCGCAACGGCUAGUCGCGUAGGACUUAAGCUUUUCCAACUUUAUUUUGCCUUCGUAGGCCUUUCAUUUUUGGCUUCUUUCUUUCAACUUCAAUUUCAGAGCAUUUGAGGCACUUUCAACUUUCACAUUUCAAACCUUUGCCAGGACAGUUAGCCACGUGGGACUCAAACUUUUUAACUCUAUUUUGCCUUUGUAGGCACUGCAAUUUGAUUUUAUCCUUCCAAGAGUUUUCAAUUUCAAAACAUCAGCUACCAUGGUCGGUUGAAGUCGACUUGAUGCCCCUGGCGAGGUUGGGUGCCUUUUGCAUAUUAUCUUGUAUCAAACGAAAGCCCUGUAAAUCAGUCUUGCUAUCUCUUCUUUUCCUCAACUUUGGAACAGAGUUAGACCGAAAGGAAUUCAAAGAAAACAAACAUUGGAAUGAGUUUAAAACAAGAAGUGUCCCUUUCGGGGAAAGGAAAGAAGGACUUAUCUAGAGUACAUGCGUACUUCAAUGAACAUUACAUGCCUUUUGGACUGGAUGCUUGAUCCGUAUAAACCGUCCGACUCUCAGAAAUUCAUCACAACUUUUGCCUCAAAAUCGAGAAACCUUGCUAGGACUCUGUCGAUGCUGAUGGGUGUGAGGAUCCUCUUUUCAAUUAGGGGUGUCCUUUGCGGGUUUUUACGAGCUGACCUCUCUCAUUUCUCUUCUCACCAUCGCCUUAUAGUGAUCUUUGCGAGUUUUCACUAACAAGACUCUCUCCUGCUCAAUUUCUCUGCUUACCAUCGUCUUACGGUACCCGUGUGGAUUUUCACCAAUAAGACUCUCUCAUUUUAUUUCUCUUAUUUUGACUGUAUCGGAUCCAAGUAGUUGCAUCUCCGAUCCUUGAACAUUCUUACCGAUUGAUCGGAAGGACUUGAACAUUAGGGUAAAAAGAUCUUGGAUAGAAUUACAACUUUAGAACUUUUCUGGCGAACCGUCGUCGAACCAUUAUAACUUCUACACCAGUUUCAACUUUGGAGGGGAAUGUGGACUUUUGUUUUGGUGUGACUGAACCCCAAAGAGAGGCUGCCUACGUAUCCUUUUGGAAUCAAGUCGAACGUAGUUCAGGGAACUUUGUUUUUUGAUUUUUUUGUUUUGUUUUCCUUUCUCUUUCUUUUCCUUUUUCCCUUUUUUUUGUUUUCAUUUCAUUUUCUUUUUUCCUUUUCUUCCCCCCUUUUCUUUUGUAUCUUUAUUUUUCUUCCUUUUUAUUUCAUUUUUUUUUCAUUUUUCAAUUUAUUUUUUUUCAAUAACACUUUCAGGUUCCAAAGAGGUUAAUCAAAGAAGAGUAAUCGGCUCAAAGGGUUAGCAAAAGGUUAAAGUGUUUGGGUAGCGAGAAUGAAAGCCUUCAUCAUCCCAACUAGAGAACAUUAAUGCUAUAUAGAGGAUCCAACAUAGUACCUUUUGACUACAUUUGCAUUGACAGCUGUUUCAGGGACAUUUCCUUCGAUGUGUCCCAAGUACAACGCACUUUUUUGGCAGUACUCUUGUUGCAAUGUAUGGACCUUUUCAAUCUGGAACCAAUUUUCCUUCAGUCAUUCCAACUCUUUGUUUUAUUUCCUUAAGCUUAUCUUCAUUUCAAUCUAAUUCUUGAUUCAUUAUUUCGAAGUCUGACAGCGUUUUAGGAUCUGGGCAUAAAGUCCGCAAGCAUGUCAUGUUAUUCAAAUCUGCAUUUAACAGAACUAAAAAGAGAACAAGAAAAUGACAAGAUUAAGAAAAGAGACAUUCCUAGACAAUGAAAUAUUAAUUUCAUUUGAUUUUUGAUUUUUUGAUUUUUUUUUAUUUUGAUUUUUUUUUUCAAUUUUUGAAGAUAGAAGGGUUUACAUCGUAAAGUCAGACAUUAAAGUAAAACAUACGGAUCACACCCUGAGAUAAUCCGGAUGCAGAAAGGAUAGCAAAACUGGCUACCGAGACUCCCAUCUGAUUGGGAACUUUCAGGCUUGGCCACCGUUUUUUGGCUUUUCUUUUGUCUCGGCAAUGGCUGCAAUGGCCUUCAGUGCCGGAUUAAAUUCCUUAUCUUCACAAAUCAUUCCAACUGUUGACCCAUUGUUGAGGGCAGACAACAGAUUGUUCAUCACAUCAAGAGCUUCUUUAUCUUGAAAAACAAUUCUUUCAGCUUCAAUCAAAUUUUCAACUGCCCUUUUGAGGGUCCAACAGUCCUCUGUACUAUGUCCCACUGCUCCAGAGUGGUAUUCACAUCUAGCAUCAGCCCAGAGCGAGGGGGACUCGGGGUUUGGCCGAUUCGGGUNNNNNNNNNNNNNNNNNNNNNNNNNAAUAGGGGUGAACUGAUUCUUUCUGAAAAGCUCUCUUGGGGUAGGAUUGUAUUGGGGAUAAUUUGGUUGAGGAUUAUAUGGAACUUGGUAAGGAUGGGUAUUUCUGAGAGGUGGAGCUCGGUUUUGUGGAUAAUGUUGUGGCCGCGGGUAAGGUUGCGCAUUCAUCACCGCAUAGGGCGACGAUGCCACGGCAUAAGCAACAUCGUGAAGGGGAUAAUAGUGUGGUGGGACGAUAGGAGGCACGAAUGAUUGGCUGAAUGACCUACGGGCCCCCCUCGAGCUUGAAACCAUCAUGGCUCCCUCUUCACUCUCAUUUCUGUUCAUCAAACCCUCCGAACCAUUCUGAGAAGACUAUGAUGUGGCCUUAAAAGCAGCAUGACUCAAGAUUCGACCUAUUUUUAAAUCGUUUUCAACCAUUUCCCCAAUUUGAUAGACUCAACGAACGGCUUACCCACAGCAGACAUCAUGUUCUGGAAGUAGUUAGCCUCUUGGGCUUGCAGAAAGAUCGUGACCAUUUUAAUUUCGUCCAUAGGAGGCUUUACCCUGGCAGUUUUCUCACGCCAUUUGACAGCACAUUCGCGGAAGCUUUCCAAAGAUUUCUUUUUGAAGUUGGACAAAGAAUUUCUAUCCGUAGCUAUGUCCACAUUGUACUAGAACUGUCUGACAAAAUCCCGGGCCAGGUCAUCCCAUAUGUGCCAAUGGGAGAUGUCUUGGUCCAUAUACCACUCUGAUGCCAUUCCAGUUAAGCUCUCUCCGAAAUAGGCCAUCAAAAGUUCUUCUUUUCUGCAUGUCCCUCUUAGCUGGUUGCAAUAUCUUUUCAAAUAGGCGAUCAGGUCUCCAUGCCCGUCAUAUCUUUCAAAUUUUGGCAUCUUGAAGCCGUGAACAUGGGGAAACAUACAGAGGCCAUAGUAUGAGACACUCUUUUGGUCACUCAGACCUUGCAUGUUUUUCAAGCGUUGUUCCAGGCUCUUCAUCUUCCGAGCCAUUUCCUCUUGCUCGGGAUUUUUAACAACCUUUUCUUGCUCCACCGAGAGGUCAUAUUGCGGAGGUUGAGUGAAAGAGUAUGGGGUCACAUAUGUUAUUUCUGGUUGAAGUUGUGGACCCUGAAAGAUGAAUAUUGGAGUGGUGCCUUUGAAGUCGGUGCCUGGGGCGAACCACAGAAGGCAUGCCAGGAAUAAUUGACAGCAUUGGAGGGUACCCGCAUGGGAUGAGCGGGUUGGGCACAAGGGCAUUGAUAACCUCACCUGACCUGGGGAUCAACUCAGGGAACCUAGGGAUUGCACUUGGAGGUUCUCUACCAUUAGACCAGCCAUCCCACAUUUCCAAUAAGCGGAGACGCAACAUCUUAUUCUCUUCAGCAGUUGCUGAUUCUAGCUGCAGAAUAGCCGAUGUCGGGCUAUCCUCAGGAUUGACGAUUGGUUGAUUGCUUGCGGAGGCCAUCUGUGCCUUUGGAUCUUGUGAAGGAGGGGAGGCUAGACUACCAACAAAACCAACCACCAAAACCUAGCUUAUUUGCGCACCCAACAACCUUAUUAGUUUUUUGAGACAUUUAACAUAUAGGAAAUCGCACGUUGGUAUGCAAUGCACCUAAACAGUUAAACGCUUAUACCAUGUGUUUGAACGGUUGCAUAUUUCAUCCCGGCCUUGACUAACCCUUUCAGUAUGUAUCUCUUUUCUUUUAUUUUUUGCCUCUCUUUAAUCACUCUUGAUUUUUUUUCAUUUUGUUUCUGCCGCUCUUUAAUUUUGGCCUUCUCUUUUUUUUGUUUUUAUUUUUUUCACUUUUUCUUUCUUUUUUCACUCAAUUUUUUUUUCUUUUUUUCAGAUAAUUUUUCUCUCAGUUUAUUUAUGACUAUGAUCGAAUCCGAUGGGGAUUGCCUACGUAUCAUGACACCGUAUGAAUCAGAUCUUGCGUAGUUCGGGAAGAUUGGGAAUGGAGUAAAUAAACUAACCUUUUUUUUACUUUUUAUAAAAUUCAGACCAUGAAAGUUUUAAGGCAAAAGAAAAAAAAUUGAUUUUUGAUUGAUAUUUGUUUUAAAAUUUCUUUUGGAAUUUUCUAAAACAAAUGCUUUAAAAGAAGAAAGGAAAUAUUUUUUUUAUUUUGAUUUUUAUUUUAUUUUUGAAAGAAAGACUUCUAAAAUUCCUUGAUUGGAACUUUAGCAAUUUCAAAAUUAAAAGGAAAUUUUUCUUUUUUGAAUUUUCGUUUGUUUUCUCUUAUUCUAAAGAAGAAAGAAAAUAUUUUUGGAUUUUGAAUGUUGCCUCUUAUUUUUCGAAAGAGGGACCUUUUAAGAAAAUAUUUUGAAUUUCUGAUUGUUUUGUUUUUAAAUUUACAAAAGUACUUCUAAGGAAAAACAAAAAUAUUUUUGGACUUCAAUUUUUCAAUUUUUUUGACAUUUACGAAAGAAAAACUUUUAAAGAAGGAAAAGAAUAUUUUCUUUUUUUUUGGAUUCUUUUUUUUUAAUUUUUUGGAAAAAUACUUCAAAACAAAGAAAGCCCGUAUGAAAUACUCUAGAAAGAGGGAAACUGCUUUUUUGAGUUUUAAAAACUUCCCCUAUUUUUGUAUUUUCUAAGGAAAUAUUUCUAAAGGAAAAUAUUUUUGGAUUUUUGAAAAUUGGGGUCGGAACCGAUGAGGUUUGCCUACGUAUCUCACAUCCGGUGAGAAUCAGACCCGCGUAGUUCGGUCAGUUUUGACGGAACAAGGGAAACAUGACCUUUAAAAUUUUGGCUCAAUUUGAAAUGACUUUUCUUUUUCUUUUUCUUUUUUCUUCAGAAUUCGGUAGAGUUUCAGAAUUUUCUAAAUAUCUACCUCUCACUUUUUUUUUAAUUUUCUUUCUCUAUUCUAGAAGCUGGUCAACAUGCAAGCCGAAACAGACAGAUACGCAGGUAGCACGUAAGAUGCAUCAGGAUGGUCUUUUAAUUUAGGUACACCUGUCCUAAACUGACCCAACCCUUGUGUUGAGUCCCCAAAGUCAAAUGCACGUGAUGCAAACAAAACGGUCCUACUAGGGAUCUGGCAUGAGGCUAUGUUAUUCUAGGUUUAAAACCUGGGUGUAUUGUUCUAGACCUGGCUUACCCGAGCGGACAGCUCGAGCCGAGGGGGGCAGCGUACCGGGAAUACAGAAGCUUUACCGGCUUUGUAACUUGUCCGAACCUCGUUCUAAAAUUGGGAUAUGACUCUAACAGAAAAGAAGUCACACGAAGUGCACACUUCCUAGAUGAUUUAGAAGACUCAGAGAGAAUAGGAUUUCGUAAUAAUUUAUAUAUAGUUCAAACAAUAUCAAAGCGGUAAAAAGUGGCAUUUAGCACAUUAGGCUCAAACAUGUAAAAUCAGAUAAUAAAUAAAACCAAGUAUAACAGUUAUUCUAAGCUCAAAUUCUGAACCCUGAACUAGAAGUUCUGGGUUCUUAUCCCCAGUAGAGUCGCCAAAGCUGUCACACCUCCUUUUUACACCCCAAGGGUAUAUAGGAGUUUUUCCAAUUAAAGUGACAUUAUUCGAAAUGAGAUUAUUUUAUUUAAUCAGAUUUGCCACUUGGGAUAGUUUAUUUAGCGUCUCAAGUCACCGGUUUAUUUUAAAAUCCCCAAUUGAGGAAAUUUCGACUUUAUUUUAAAAGUCUGCGAACUAGAAAUUCUAAGUAAGGAAUUUUGUUAACCCGGAAGAAGGUGUUAGGUAUUCCCGGGUUCCGUGGUUCUAGCACGGUCACUUAAACUAUUAAUAAUUGGCAUAUUAUCUGAUUUACUACAUGUUUUAAACCUAUUGUGCAUUUUUAGCUUUAUAACCGCUAUUUAAUUAUUUUAACCGCUUUUAAAAUUUAUGGAAUAAUUUCUUAAACAAGUUACGAUUGUUGUACACUUGUCGUUUUGGGACACACCGCAAACCACGCUACAUGAAAUUCACCUGCGAUUCACGAUAUGUUUAUUUUUAUUAAUAUUCAAAGUUGUUAUGAUCGGGUCACAUGAAAUGCACACCCGAAUUGGGGAUUAUGUACCGUGACCAUGCCAUGGGAACCGUACCUAUAGUCACGAUGUUUAUUUAUUAAUCCCGCCACUCUAACGGUGUUCAUUAUUCUUCCUAAAUUUUGAGAUUAUUGUGAGGACAUGAUUUUGGGAUAUGAAAUUGACAUGAGGGUCAAGAAAUAUGUUAUCUAUUUAAAGUAUAUCCUAGUUAUUAUACAUAGCAAUGGUGCAACCUUGAUAAAAAAAAAUUGAAGUUACCCAACUAUACCCACCCCUAGCUAUCUCUAAAUAUGUGGAUACACACUUCCCACUAUCAUAAAUUUACACUUCACUGGUUAGGAGGGUAGUAAUCGAAUUUCUUAAGUUUGUCUUGACCAUAUUUAUGGUAAUGGAGAUUAAAUAUUCCCUAUAUAUGUGAAUAAAGAAAAAUGAUGCCCUAUAUAUAUUUAUUAACUAUAGUUCACUUAAACUAAUAAAGUAGAUUAACUUAAUCCUAGUAGCUACAGUAAACUAGAGGAAAAAAUACAUAAGAACUACUAAAUUCAAACUUCACUACAAAUGUUGGCUCUUCUUAGCACAAACAAGGGUAUUCUUUAUAUUCCCAGUAUUUUUCGUAUUCUACCUUCAUAUUUAGUGCAACAAUCAGCACUUUCUCAUCCUAAUCUACUACAAAUCACUAUUUAAAUAGUACAUUAUGAUGCAUAUCUAGAAUAUCUACUCAUAAGAAGAGCCAAUAUUCUAAAAGCUCAUAAUAGGAUUUUGAUUGGGAAAAGACAACAGAAACCAAUGUCUAAAAAUUUAAAGUAUAUUCAGCAUCCUUGUCAUGGGGUAUUCAAGAGGAUUCAAGCACACUUUAUGAAACUUUUCCAGGAUAAGUAUCCAUAUGUAAUGACAAUGCACUCACAGAACAUCAACAAUUCUUCCAAAGUACAAACCCGUUCAGAAUUUGUAUAAAAACAACAAUAGAAAACAAGUCCUUGAAAUGCACAAAAAUAUAUAGAACCAAUUAUAAUCUAACUCAAAGCAGUAACACAAACAAUGUCAGAAUAGAGGCUAUUAACAUACACAUCCAAACAAAAAUUACAUUAUUUGAAACCAAAACUCAUACCUUGACCAUAAAAACCCAAAAAAAACAAGUUGAGGCUGGACAAAGAACCAGCUCAAGCUCAACAAGACAACAAACAUCAACGACAGCAGUCCACGGUAAAAAUCAACCUUCAAUCGCUUACACUCGAGAAUCCCUGAAUACUCUAAUUUAAUCUCAGAAAAACAGCUUGAGAACUCCAAAAUAUGCAGCAACUAAACAAAAAUCGGAACUAGCUUUCAAUUUUCCCUCUUCUUUUGGACUUGUGCUCGGAUUUCUGGAGCAUUUGUUUUCGAUUUAGGGCUCUUUUUUUAAUUCCUUAGCUCUAAUCUGUUCUUCUACUGUGUGUGAGUGAGAUGAUGAUUAGAGGAGGGUGAUAUGAGAAGAGGGGGGAAUGGCGCUAUUUUGAGAGGGGAAGGGGAGGUCUGUUCUUGGUAAUAAUGAAAAUGGAGAGGAAACUCCCUCCCAGAUGCGUCGUUGCUAUGUGGGGUGAGGUAUCUCAUUAUUUAGGUCUAGGAGCUAGGUUUUAAUUAAAGGGGAUGGG
RNAcentral lists this long non-coding RNA (10876 nucleotides) under Nicotiana tabacum (common tobacco). RNAcentral's name for it is "long non-coding RNA (NTAB_LNC018742)". Lineage: Eukaryota; Viridiplantae; Streptophyta; Magnoliopsida; Solanales; Solanaceae. The record is from RNAcentral.